CCAAUAGCGUAUAUUAAAGUUGUUGCAGUUAAAAAGCUCGUAGUUGAAUUUCGGGAUCAAUAUGUUGGUCGUGCCUUGGUACGUACUAUCUUAUUGGUUUCUCCCUUCUGACGAACCAUGAUGUCAUUAAUUUGGUGUCUUGGGGAAUCAGGACUGUUACUUUGAAAAAAUUAGAGUGUUUAAAGCAGGCUCACGCUUGAAUAUAUUAGCAUGGAAUAAUGAAAUAGGACGUUUGAUUCUAUUUUGUUGGUUUCUAGGAUCGACGUAAUGAUUAAUAGGGAUAGUUGGGGGCAUUAGUAUUCAAUUGUCAGAGGUGAAAUUCUUGGAUUUAUUGAAGACUAACUACUGCGAAAGCAUUUGCCAAGGAUGUUUUCAUUAAUCAAGAACGAAAGUUAGGGGAUCGAAGACGAUCAGAUACCGUCGUAGUCUUAACCAUAAACUAUGCCGACUAGGGAUCGGAUGAUGUUAAUUUUUUAAUGACUCAUUCGGCGCCUUACG
This 498-nucleotide ribosomal RNA is filed under the name uncultured Glomeromycotina. RNAcentral describes it as "partial small subunit ribosomal RNA". It matches the Rfam family "Eukaryotic small subunit ribosomal RNA", at positions 591 to 1092 of the family's 1831-position model. The record is from RNAcentral. Lineage: Eukaryota; Fungi; Glomeromycota.